UUGUGCACAAAUCUUAGUAGAUACAGAAUAAAAUAAUUGUAAAGCACAAUAUUAAGGAACGUUAAGUUAAACGUCAAUUUGUACUUGACAUUUUUGUAAAUUGACUUUGACUUCUCGUCUCUCUCAUCUGCGAGGUCUGUCUGUAAAGAUAACAAAAGUGUAGGAGUUUUUGCUUUUUUCAUUGUGAAAUCGUGGGAGUGAUAAGUUGAUAUAAUAUAAACACUAAACAGCGUCACAUUAAUCGCCCGUACAAAAAUAAUUGCGUGGAAUUUGGUGCGUUCUUGUCACCAAUUCUGCCGAUUAAUGCAAAACGAUGACAACAAAACCAGAUGUGAAUGACGACGAGUCAUUUAUAAUCCUCGGUUCUUCCCCUGGCACCAGUCUGGAUUUGAAGUGUAACGGGAUGGAUGCCCCGUCAUUGGAUCGUCUCGUGCUUGACGAUGCUAUUAAGGACCUCCCAGCCGAGGCAAGUACGGCAUUCAAGGCUCAUUUUCAACUUGAUAGUGGGCCGUCUCCAGCCAGUCUCAUGAUAGCGAGCACGAUGAUCACAGACUACAAAAGCACGGAAGAACUACAGAAGCAGUUCGGCGAACUUCUCGAUGAGAAUGUGAUUUUGAAGGAAACUUUGAAGAAGAACAACGAGAGCAUGAAAGAACAGUUCCUGCUGAUAGCGUCGUGCCAGGAGGACAUGAUGAAGACUCAUGUCAUGCACAAGGAGAAGUUUGAUGAGACCAGGGAGUUGGUGGAGAAGUUACGCCAAGAAAACAAGAAACUGAAGAGCGACAUCGCUCGAUUAGCGGAGUCUGAGCCUUCGCGGUCGAUCCCUGAGGGCUCCUCAGGGCAGUCGACCUCAGGGCCCACGUCGGCUUUGGAGUUCGUGACGUCUCCUGAUGACGACACUAUCAAUAAACUCACCGCGCAGUUGGAACUCGUUGAGAAGCAGAGGCGACAGGUGAUAGUAGAGAAUGAAAAGCUGACAUGGCAGAAGGAAUCCUUAGAACAUAUUGUCGACGCGACUACCAAAGAACGAGAUGAGCUCAAAGACAAAGUAAAGGCAUUGGAAUUGCAACUAUCGAACAUAGAAAGCGAACACACACACAAAAUAAAUCUUCUAAACUACACAAUACAAGAUUUAAAUAAUAAACUGGAAACUGCGAAAACAUCUAUACCUACUGCAUCGCCAGAGGAGUUGGGUAAGCGAGAUGACGUUAUAAAACAGUUGGAAGGCAAGAUUUGCGGCUUACAGAACGAUCUCAAACAGGCACAGUUGAAGAUUCUCGAAUUGGAAACCGUCAAGCUCGAAUUUUCGAAGCACAAGUCUGGAGCAGCGGACACUGUGAAAUUGUACAAAGACCAAAUACAAGAGUUGCACAACAGACUUAAGGAGGCUCAGACAACGGUGUUCCAGCCAGUGCGUUGCUCGGUCAGUAUGGAAGGCGACUCCGGCAGUAGUGAAUACGGCGCCUUCAUGGGUAACGUCAAGUUGUACGACAAGACGCUCAAACACCUCGCUGAGCUGCUCAACCUAAUCAUACAUGGGAAUUUAAGCCUCCUCGUUCACUUACAAGAGUGUAGGUUCGAGCGAAGCAACACAGAAGUUCUGCGCGCGAGUUUGACCGACCUGCGUCAACGAGUGGACUCCCAACACGCCGCCGCUACUUCUAACGUAGCCCAAGUGAAAGGCGCACUGUCGAUAUUCGAAGGAAUAUUCAAAGAUUAUAACGAACUACUGAAGAAGUGUUUGAACAAACAAGAGCCUAAACCAGCGCCAUCAGUGGAACAGCUGACCGCAGCGCUGGUCGCGAGGGGCCAGGAGUUACAGGACCUCCAAUGCGAGCUGGCUUCACUCAAAGUUGAUAAAGAGGAGAAACAGCUGCUGCAGGCACAACUGGAGCUGUACAAGAGUGACUUCGAAGCUGAGCGCGAAGCUCGGGAGAAGAUGGCGAGUGAGAAGGAAACCACGCUCACUGACUUGCGGACCACGCUGAGGAGGAAUCAGGAGCUUGUUAUGCAGCUGGAAGAAGUCCGCAAGUUGAAUCCAAACAUCUUCCGAAGCGCCACCGCUAAGAGAUUGCAGCCGAACGUAACAUCUCAGCCCACGGGGGGGUCCACAUCAGGGCCCACGAGGGCCACGGGGGGGUCACAGGAGCCCCCCGGCUCGCGGAGGCAGGCCGCACCUGGCAACACUGCUACUGGCAAUAUGGUCCGCAAAAAGCAGAAGGUGGAUAACUCAGAAGAUCGCGAGAAGACACCGCCGCCACUGCGAUAUGAUUGCCCAGUAUGCGACAAACCGUUCAAGACAUUACUCCUACUACAGCAACAUGUUGACAGUUGUUUAUUGUAAAUAAGAGACUUGUCUACGAAUGGACUAGCAUUGUUAACAUACAUAAAACAUAAAUAGCCUAUAUACGUCCUACUACUGGGCAUAGAUCUCCCCUCUUUUAACUGGAAGGGGUAUAGAUCCUAGCAAUGUUAUUGCUGUUUAAUUAUCUAACAUUCAGACUGAAUGGGUUACGCAUCACGCGCGGCGCGACAAUUAUCGCGGGCUUCGACCAAUAGAUAGUUAGAUACAUAGACAAAAUCUUUAUUUAGGUUACAAUGGUUGCGCGAUUGCGUCUAUUAGUCAGAACACGCGAUAUAUAUCGCACUUCACGCGAUAGCGAUACCCGUGCCGACUUGGCUGGAGUAACAGCUAGCAGUAUUUUACAGAAGUGUGAGGGGAUUGCUAGGCCGGUUGUCAAUGCGGCCUAGCAAUCCGAAGGAAAAGUCUCCAAUAGAUUGUCACAUGCCUCCGAAAAUAGUUGUUUUCACACUGUUUUCCAUAACUGUUAAGAAUGUUUAAAUACCUAUCAUUUACAUAACGCCAAUUCAAGCGUCGGGUUCAUGAAUACCCCCGAAGGGGGAUAGCGUUGACAGAUUCAAAUUAAAUUCAAAUUUAAAAGUAUCUUUAUUCUGUAGGUAACAAAGUUACACUUUGAAACGUCAAUUAAGAGGUGUACAGUAGAUACGCACACUGCUCGCCAGGAUGCAGGCAUGUUUAAGGGUGGUAUUGAUACUAAUCUCAGCUUCGAGACUGCCCUCAAGUGACUGUGACAGUUCUUAUAUAAAAACAGGGACCUAAGCAUGAUCAUGGUAAGCAUGAUGAUGGCAACAGCCUCCGUGGUCUAGCGGUUAGAGCGUUAGGCUCAAGAUCUUGAGGUCCGGGUUCGAUUCCCGAUGGGGACAUUGUCGAAAUCACUUUGUGAGACUGUCCUUUGUUUGGUAAGGACUUUCCAGGCUUGAAUCACCUGAUUGUCCGAAAAAGUAAGAAGAUUCCGUGCUUCGGAGGGC
Pectinophora gossypiella (pink bollworm) is the source of this 3330-nucleotide RNA transcript. It is a transcript of the gene named NF-kappa-B essential modulator, with no coding region annotated. The transcript has 16 exons. NCBI's taxonomy places the organism in Eukaryota, Metazoa, Arthropoda, Insecta, Lepidoptera, Gelechiidae. The record is from RefSeq and is a predicted model, not a curated record.